UUUUUUUUUCAUCAGGUAGAUUGUCUUCCUCAUUGUGCCAACAACACAGUUAAUCCUAAAAUGGAGUCACAAAGUUAAAGACUAAUCAUCUUCUUUCAAACAAAUGCCUUGAUUAUACACAUGGUUUAAUAGAAUGGAUUACAUCACACUCGUCAUAUAUUUUAAUCGCUACAGAGAAUUAACACAACAAUAUCAACUAUUUAUACCUAACACCAGUACUCUCUCCGUUCCUAAAUAUAAUUCUUUUUAGAGAUUCCAAUACGAACUACAUACGGAUGUAUAUAGAUAUAUUUUAGAGUGUAGGUUCACUCAUUUUGCUCCGUAUUUAGUCCAUAUUGGAAUCUCUAAAAAAGACUUAUAUUUAGGAACGGAGGGAGUAGUCAAGCAAAAUACAUACGCACAUAUAAUGACUAAAAAAGCCUGGGGCAAGUUUAAUAACUAUUCUCCGAGACAAAUGCCUCAUUAUUCCACACGGUUUAGUAUAAUAGAUUACAUCUGACUCUUAACCUCUGUUCAUCAUCAUUGAGAACAAUAACACUAGAAAUACCGACAAUUUGACUUGAAUGUCAUGACUCAUGGGCGGCCUAGCAAAUCUUCUCUUAUCAACCUGUGCACACACACUACAUCUAAUGCGUAGUAGCAACCACAGAGCAAAAUAUGUUGCUUCUUGUCCGUGGUUUAAAUUAAGUGAAAUUUUCAAGGUUAGCAUAUCAUCGUGUAGCACGGUUGCUAUUUGUAUGUACACACAUACAAAAAUAAGGUGUGUGCAUUGAAUGCUUCAUCCUAGUGAUCCUUCCAUUGUCUAAAAAGUGUCCAGGGGUUAGUAUUGAUAUUUGGUCACAUCGGAUUUAAGCUAAGCCCGUGAUGCAGACUCAAGUUUGAAAUAUGUCAGGCCCUGACCUUGAGCAUGAUCUGUUUGACAGCUCUAGCAAAAUGAUAGAUUCAACCCAAGAAAAUUAGUGAUGAAAUAGUAAUAGAUUGAUAUCUUCUCCUAUUAGUCACCUACCGACAUUCAUAAAUUGCGAUAGUACUUGAGCCAUCAAAGUUGCAGGGAGGGACUUGAAAAUAACUUUGCCAUGUGCAAGGUUAUUACCUCAAGUACUUGACCACAAGUAGUAUAUGGUAUCAUCUUUGCUAUUUCCUUUCUAGAAGUCAGUUCACACGACGCACAGACGCAUUCUUGUGACCCGUGAUUAACAAUGUUUGUGAUCCUAACCAAACACAUUGCUCAUCACAUUUUAGCCUCUUUUGUUUGUUGUAAGCAUGUGAAGACAAAAUCACUUGUUGAUGUGAAUGUGGUGCACUGAAGCACCAUGGCGGCUUGGGAAUGAGUGGCAUCGUGAAAACAUGUCAAACAAUGAUGAUUCUUGAGGUUGUUUGGUUUGGUUCCUGGUCACAAGGUGUGGAUGUUGUGUGGAGGACGUUUAGUGUGUGUCCUCGAGAGUGGAUGGCUUGCCCGUCAUGAUUCCAUAUAGGCAUGAGAUUAUCCUGGCCCAAGCGCUCGAACUCCGAUGCAUGUGCGAGCAUCGUCUGCAACCUGGAUGCUAAGCGCUUGGUUGGUACUUCGGUUUCCAGCCGAAUCCCUCUGUAAAACAUACACCCCUGUAAAGAAGAUCAUUUUUGCCCUAGAAAAAUUACACCCGUUUCUUAGAUUAUGCUGGUAUUUGUCCGGUAUUUCCCUUUGUCUCGAUCCACAUAAACGAGUACAAGCACACACGCCCCGGGACGGCCUGUGCCAAAGCAGGGCACCAGCGACCGUGACGGUUGGGCUGGAGGAUCCCUGGCUCUCACCGGCCAUAAAAAUGCAAGGACUGGGUGGCAAUUGUUAGAACUCAGAAAAUUAAGAGUAAACUUGUAUUGGUUGAUAGACAGAGUACAACUUAUAUAUGUCUUGAAGAGAUGCAUCUCAUAGGUCGCGACGGUUCAUACAGGCGCAUCCUAGAGAUGCGUCGGUUGGUGCUAAGUAAUUGCCGUGCAGUUAAACAAGAGGAGAUUUUCCCUAAUUAAUAUAUGUGCAAAUUAAUCACAACACUCCCCCUAGUCUAUGCUUGUCUAUAUAGAAUCGUCAUAGGAUCAUCAGGUAGAAUCGUCAUCUUGAAAGAUUGUCCAGGUUGCAUCAUCAUCUCAAAGGAUUCUUCUCCGACAAUUCUUCAUUAAUAUUCUUGACGAGAACCUGAAACAUAAAAUUCACAGAGAAAAAGAAAUGUAAUAUGAUACUUCAAACAGGUACAGUUCAAGGAGACACUCCCCCUGAUUCUUGCAAGUCCCGAAGUCGUCGCAUACCAAUUCCAUGAACAUAUUUCUGGAAUGUAGAAUUUGGUAGAGACUUGGUAAAUAAAUCAGCAAGAUUUUCACAUGAUUUAAUUUGCAAGAUGUUUAUUUCCCCCUUUUUCUGAAGAUCAGGGGAAAAAGCACUUAGGAGAAAUAUGUUUAGUGAUAUUACUGUUGAUGUAUCAUGUUUGCAUCUGUGCAACACAACCGCAUUAUCUUCGUAGAUAAUGGUAGGUGAUUCUAUAGAACCAAUUCCACAUGACUGUUGUAUGUGGUUUAUCAUUCUACGAAGCCACACACAUUCGCGUGAUGCCUCAAAUAAUGAAAUUAUUUCAGAAUGAUUGGUAGAUGUUGCCACCAGAGUCUGUUUAGAAGACUUCCAUGAUAUGGCAGUUCCACCAUGUAGGAACACAAAGUCGGACUGCGAUCUGGCAUUAUGGGAUCAGAUAAAUAGCCAGCAUCGGCGUAUCCAAUCAUAUUAGAGUCUUGAUUUCUCUGGAACUGAAAGAAUAGGCCAAGAUCCUUUGUGCCUUGGAGAUAUCGAAAGAUAUUCUUAACUCAGGACCAAUAGCGUUUGGUGGGAGCUGCGCUAUGUCUAGCAAGUAGAUUCACUGCAAAUGCGAGGCCAGGUCUCGUGCAAUUUGCAAGAUACGUGAGCGCUCCAACGGCACUAAGAUAUGGAACCUCAGGUCCCAAUAUUUCUUCUCCAUCGUCCCUUGGCCUGAACGGAUCUUUCUCUACGUCUAGAGAGCGAACCACCAUGGGAGUUUUAGAUGGGUAGGAUUUGUCCAUAUUGAAUUUCUCCAAUAUUUUCUGGAUAUAAGCAGCUUGGUAUACCAUGAUUCCUGAGGUGAGGUGCUCAAAUUGAAUACCUAAGCAAAUUUUGGUUUUACCCAAAUCCUUCAUCUCAAAUUCUAUCUUUAGAUGAUUGUGUGCUUCAUCAAUGUCAUGUGUGUUGCCAAUGAUGUUGAGGUCAUCGACGUACACUGAAAUGAUGCAAAAUCCUGUAUAGGACUUUUUGAUAGACACAUGGGCAAUCACUACUAUUAGAGUAGCCUUUUUGUAGAAGGAACUCAUUAAGUCGGUUGUACCACAUCCGUCCCGACUGUCUUAAGCCAUAUAUUGACUUAUUAAGUUUUACACAAUACAUGUUGCAUUUUGCGCUUGUAUUCGGGAUAGAGAUUCCGUCAGGAACCUUCAUAUACAUGUCUAAAUCUAGUGACCCGUAAAGAUAUGCGGUCACGACAUCCAUCAACUGCAUAUAUAGACGGUUUUGCACUGCCAAAGAUAUAAGGUAUCGGAAAGUGGUUCCACUCAUUACAGGAGAAUAUGUUUCAUCAAAAUCAAUGUCGGGUCUCUGCGUGAACCCUUGCGCUACGAGCCUUGCUUUGUAUCUCACCACCUCAUUGUUCUCAUUCCGUUUCCGGAGAAAAACCCAUUUGUAUCCGACAGGGAAAACAUUGGGAGGUGUCGGUAUUGCUUUAGUGAAUACCUUUCUUUUGUUAAGCGAGGCAAUUUCUGCUUGUAUUGCGUCCUUCCAUUUAGGCCAGUGGGAGCGCUUUUGGCACUCAACGAUAGUCUUUGGAUCAUGAUCAGUCAUAAGGAUAUCUGCAAUUUUUUCAGCAAAAUAAAUGUUGACAGUCGUAAACUUACGGUCGAAAGAUUCUCCAGAAUCGAUAUAGUUGAUGGAAAUUUCCUGCACCCCUAGUGACUCUUCAUGUUUUCCCAAUACGCGUGAGUCUGGGUGUUUUGAUGGCCCAGCCAGUGUGUGCAAACUGAAGCUGGGUUGUGGAGGUUGUCCUUCCACUGGGUGUAUACUACCCAUAAGGUGUUUGUCAAUGUUGAGCUGACCUGCAUUUACUAACUCCGGGGUUUUUCUCCUCGAUCUCCUUUGUUGCUUGCUGGAAGCUUGUUCCAGGUCAGAGGUCGUACUACUCCCCCUCUUUUUAGGAAUAGGGAGUUGAGUGGUUUUUAUUAGUACCUCCACUCUUUCGGGCGCAUUUCUGGACGGAUUUAAGGACUUUGUAACACCUUUUAGAUCAGUAAAUGAAUCUGGCAGGUUAUUUGCAAGAUGUUGCAAAUUAAUGAUUUUCCAAACUUGGAGUUCAGUCUCUUGUGUACGUGGAUCAGAGUACGAAAUGGCUUGAGCAUUCCAAUCAAUUUCCGGGCAUUCUUUCUGGUACUUGAAAUCUCCCCCUAAUGCCGGAAAGUGUUCCUCAUUAAAUAUACAAUCAGCGUGACGGGCUGUGAACAGGUCCCCAGUAAGUGGUUCUAGGUACUUAAUAAUCGACGGCGAUUUGUACCCCACAUAGAUCCCCAAUUUCCUAUGUGGGCCCAUGGAUGUCCGCUGUGGUGGUGAGAACGGGAUGUAUGCAGCACAUCCGAACUUGUGCAGAUGGGAAAUGCUAGGAGGAUUUCCACGUACCAAUUGUAGAGGGGAAGUACUGUGAUAUGCAGUAGGCCUCAAUUGUAUCAAGUCAGCAGUGUGUAGGCAAGUUGCAAUUCAUUAACAAAGGUCUUGCAAUGAGUUUGAUCAUUUUAAUCAAUGAUUCAGCUAAACCAUUUUGUGUAUGGACAUAUGGAACGGAGUGCUGAACUUCAAUCCACAGGGCCAUGCAAUAAUCAUUGAAAGCACGUGAGGAGAAUUCUGCAGCGUUGUCCAUGCGAAUUGUCUUAAUUUGGCUUUCUGGAUAAUGGGCUUGUAACUUAAUAACUUGCCUCAUUAUCUUGGCAAAUGCAUGGUUUCACGUGGAUAGAAGAUACACGUGUGACCAUCAUGUAGAUGCAUCAAUUAGAACCAUGAAGUACCGGAAAGGUCCAGAUAAUGGUUGGAUGGGACCACAAAUGUCUCCUUGAAUGCGUUCAAGAAAUUGAAGUGGUUCAACUUGUAUUUUGAGGUAGACAGAGUACAGCUUAUAUAUGUCUUGAAGAGAUGCGUCGCACAAGUCGCGACGGUUCGUACAGGCGCAUCCUAGAGAUGCGUCGGUUGGUGCUAAGUAACCGCUGUGCAGUUAAACAAGAGGAGAUUUUCCCUAACUAAUACUUCCUCCUUUCCAUUAUGUAAGGUGUAUUAUUUUCAGCAUGGUGACCAAGGCACAAAAUUAUAGACAUGUUAGGACUGAAUUACCCUUGGCAAAUUUGUUAAUUAGUGAUAAGUAAAUCAAUUAGUCCAGGAAAGUAAGAGAUGCAUGCAAUCGACAGAGAGAUACUUUCCUUAUUUUGCCAAAGGAGAGAUAUAGACAAUCAGGAGAGGGAUACUUUCCAUUUUUAUACAGGGCUAACAAGGGAAGAAGAAAUGCACCUGCAAAUUAAUCACAGCAGCAAUCACUCUCUGCUCCCAACCUGGCUGGGGGUGGCAACAAGGUGGGUCUCGGACUCCAACUCCUGGCCCGGUGGAUCUCGUCCUCGCGCCUGACCGUGUUGUGACGAACGAGGGGCAGAUGCCUCUGAGCAUGUUUGGUAUGCCGCGUCCUCGAGCACUCAAACAGUGCAUGGGAGCACCGGCUGCAGUCUAUGUGCCCCCUUAUAAAAAAGGAGAAAGAUUGCACAUAUCUCUCUUUUUCUAAAGAUUUAUCACAAGUACAGAGCACCCCUAGAAUGGAGAAAAAUGACUCUCAACACUAAGCCAAGAGAUCAUCUAAAAGAUAAGAGAAGUUGUAAAAUUGUUUCUCUCUUUCAAUCUGCGCCUGAAACAAAACUACGGCUGCAGAGGAAGAGCUCCGUAAUGAGGUCUGCUUGUUGUAGGGGCAGAUUGAGUACUCAUAGCAAUUCCAGUUGUAAAUAUGCUUUCGACAAGCAAAUGGAAACAAAACAAACUAAAAUAACACUCAAAACAUCAGAUGCAUGCCAGAAAAGAAGGAACAGGCAGGGCAACAGAUCAAAAAUAGACGAUAAUAUUUCUUAAGCCAAAUAUCCAGCCUUGGAAGGAAAGCAUAUAAUUAUCCUCAUGUUACAAGGGUUGGCAUCCCCCAAAUAUCACAACAACCCAGACAUAUCAGGAACCAAAAGACCCUAUCAUCCCAACAGACUGGUGCAGUGAUACAAGGUUAAGCUUUCUCCUCGUUCACCUACUUGGAUCGCUGCCUCAUCUUUCGGCGCUUCCUCUUGAGCCUCCUCAUCCUCUUCUUCUUCCACUGCAAAGUAAAGUAGCCGCACAGUUCAUUAACACUAGAAAUAUUCCAGGAAAUGCUUAGGAACACAACAAUAAUUCCAAUAUGAAAACUGAGAUAUAGUACUAUGUGACUUGGAAUCAGAAGAUUGAGUGUUUCAUUGGAUAUCAUCACAUGAUUUUCAGAAACACGGACCAAUUGUUCUUCAUCAUAUCCCAAACUGAAGUCAAUUUCAAAGGCAAAUAGGAAAAAACUAUGAUAAGAUAUCUGAAGAACCAGCUAAGCAAAGUAUAGAAUCACAGUCGGUUUGACAUUCAGAAUGAGUAGGAGGAUUUUAUCAUCAAAUAGAUCAGACGCCAAUUGUCUUCCUCAUCAUGCCAACCGACGCAAUUGUUUAUACAAAAAAAAGUAGGGAGAAUGAGCACUCUAGGAGAUGCAUAGGAACAUAACAACAAUUCAAUCAUGAAAAUGGAAAGAUAGUUCAUGUGAUUUAGAAUCAGAAGAUUUGAGUGUUUCAUUGGUUAUCAUCACAUGAUUUUCAGAAACACGGACCAAUUGUUCUUCAUCAUAUCCCAAACUAAAGCUGAUUUCAAAGGCAAAUAGGAAACAACUAUGCUAAGAUAUCUAAAGAACUACUUAAGCAAAGCAGAGAUCUGCAUUCGGUUUGACAUUCAGAAUGAGUAGGAGGAUUUUAUCAUCAAAUAGAUCAGACAGCAAUUGUCUUCCUCAUCAUGCCAACCACACAAUUAUACACAAAACAAACAGCGGGAGAAAACGAGCUAAGCAAUCAGCGUUCUCUCAGACAAAUGCCUCGAUUGUCCACAUGGUGUAAUAGAAUGGAUUACAUCAGACUCGUCAUCUGUUUUAAUCAUCACAGAGAACAAACACAACACUAACAACAUUGUACCGAACACCAGCAGUCAAGCAAAUCUAAUGAAGACACAUGCAGAAAUUGCGUCAAAGAAAGAAGAAGACAAAGUUAGGGGGCAUUGACAAGUAUUCUCUCAGACAAAUGCCUCGAUUGUCCACACGGUGUAAUAGAAUGGAUUACAUCAGACUCGUCAUCUGUUUUCAUCAUCAUAGAGAACAAUAGCCCAGUUGACUUGAGUGACACAGGCGGCCAAACAAAUCUAACCUUAUCCUACAUCUACACAGCAGCAAUCACAAAAUUAAAAGCUUGAAAAAAACCAGAGUUCUCUCAGACAAAUGCCUCGUGUUGUCCCCACGGUUGAAUGGAAUGGAUUGUAUCGGACAUCUAAUCAGUGUUGAUCAUCACGGAGAACCACAAACAAAAAAAAUCCCAUCAAUGCAAAACGCAUCUAGACUCAAAACGAACAAGCUGCAUCUACAAAAUCCAAUGUUCUCUCAGACAAAUGCCUCGAUUGUCCACAUGGUUUAUAGAAUGGAUUGCAUCGGACUCGUCAUCUGUUUUCAUCAUCACAGAGAACCGCAAACACGCAACUACAACUACCGAGCGCGCGCGCUACCGAGAGAACCACUAGAUCACAUCGAGCAGUCGGUUCAAAAGGUAGAGAUGAAUCGGGAACGAACCUUGGCCCUCAUCGCGGAGGUGGCGGCGGCGGCGCAGCAGGCGGACUGGGUCUCGGUAUCUGCUUGCUGCGGCGGCGGCGGAGGUGUACGAGGAUGGCUCUCGCGUGGUACUUAUAGAGGUCGGAAAGGAACCCUAACCCAGGAGGGAUGGACGGCUCAGAUCGAGAUGCGCUGAGUUGGGCCUUGACUCUUUGGCCCAUAUGUAUUUGUAAGAGAUGAUGAUUAGAAUUUUUGGGAGCAACUUUCCUUGGGCCACAGGAGCCUGUUUGGGACUACUUCGCUCCUUAAAAUUUAGUUUCGCUCUAGAAAAUGCAAGCCAAAUGAGGUAGCUCCACGAUAUACCGCUUCGUAAAAAAACUAGAAUCUGAGAGUGUGUCGUGCAUCCAGCCGUCGCCAUGUGUCGCGUGUUGUGCGCAUCUUUGGGAUUUUAUUUUUUAUUUUUACACAUGUUUUUGGAUUUUAUAUGGUUUUUUGUGCUUUUGCUUGGCUUCCUCUUUAUUUUGGCAUAUUUUUUUUCAGAAAGCAACACAUUUGGGCGAGGAGCACAACAUGUGCUUCUCCGAGAAGCACAGUUGUGCUUCCUAGAAAAUAAACACGGUCAUGAAAAGUACAACCUUGCUUUCAUGAGAAAUACAACCUUGCUUCCAGAGAAGAAUAUUUGUGCUUCCCAAAAAUGAAAAAUAGAGCAAUGCUUCCUUGAAAAAGGGAAAAGCACAGUUUGUGCUUCUGCGUGAGAACUACACAUUAUGCUUCCCCGAAUAAAGGGAAAAUCACAGCUUGUCCUUCUGCGUGAGAAGCACACAUUGCCCUUCUCCGAAAAAAGGGAAAAGAAAAGCCUGUGCUUCCUAAAAAAGACUAAAAUGAAACUAUGCUUCCGGGCUUCGGUUUUUAUUCCUUUGGGGGGCUUUAUUACCGUUUUUCUUUCAGUUUCCUUCUUUUUCUUGCUUUUCUUUUUUCGUACAAAAAUUCAUUGAAACAUUGACCUGGGAUCUAGUUUUGAAUCUCAACAUGAGAAAUUCAACGGUGAAAACGGUUCGGGAUUUGGACCCAUGGUUCAAAAGAUGAACUAUUUUGAAGAAACAAAUCUAUUAAAAAAACUCCUAGAUUGCGAGAAGUGACGUAUUGGGUCUCCGUAUCUGCUUGGUGCAGCGGCGGAGGUGUACGAGGAUGGCUCCCGUGUGGUACUUAUUAGAGGUCGUAAAGGAACCCUAACCAAGAGGGGUGGACGGCUCAGAUCGAGAUGCGCUGAGUUGGGCCUUAACUCUUUGGCCCAUAUGUAUUUGUAAGAGAUGAUGACCAGAAUACUUGGGAGCAACUUUCCUUGGGCCACAGGGGCCUGUAUGGGACUACUUCGCUCCUUAAAAUUUAGCCCCGCUUUCGAAAACGCAAGCCAAAUGGAUAGCUCCAUGAUAUACCGCUCCGUAAAAAAAACUAGAAUUUGAGAGUGUGUCGUGCAUCCAACCGCCGCCACGUGUCGCGUGUUGUGCGCAUAUUUGGGAUUUUAUUUUUUAUUUUUGCACAUGUUUUUGGAUUUUAUAUGGUUUUUUGGGCUUUUGCUUGGCUUCCUCUUUAUUUUGGCAUUUUUUUCCAGAAAGCAACGCAUUUGGGCGAGGAGCACAACAUGUGCUUCUCCGAGAAGCGCAGUUGUGCUUCCUAGAAAAUAAACACGGUCAUGAAAAGUGCAGCCUUGCUUCCGCGAGAAGAAUAUUUAUGCUUCCAAAAAAUGAAAAUUAGAGUAAUGCUUCCUUGAAAAAGGGAAAAGCACAGUUUGUGCUUCUGUGUGAGAACCACACAUUAUGCUUCUCCGAAAAAAGGGAAAAGCACAGAUUGUCCUUUUGCGUGAGAAGCACACAUUGCGCUUCUCCGAAAAAAGGGAAAAGAAAAGCCCGUGCUUCCUAAAAAAGGCUAAACUGAAACUAUGCUUCUGGGCUUCGGUUUUUAUUCCUUUUUGGGUUUUUAUUACCGUUUUUCUUUCAGUUUCCUACUUUUUCUUGGUUUUCUUUUUUUCGAAAAAAAGGUUUGUUGAAACAUUGACAUGGGAUCUAGUUUUGAAUCUGGAGGCAAGAAAUUCAACGGUGAAAACGGUUUGGGUUUGGAUGCAUGGUUCAAAAGAUGAACUAUUUUGAAAAAACAAAUCUAUAAAAAAAACUCCUAGAUUGUGAGAAGUGACAUACAUGGACUGCGGCUCUAGUUAGCAUCAUAGAAGGUAGAGAAUGACCUUUGAAAUGGGUACCUUUUAAUUAGUGAUUUUGAGAAUUUUGUAUCCUAUUGUUCAUACCUUCGUUUUGUUUACCCUGCAUUUGGUCCAUGUUCAUUUUAUAAGUCGUAUUUUGGCUUAUCAUAGAAAUUGUUUUUAAGAUACUUUUUUGAGUUUUUUUCAAGAUAUUAGUGAUCAUGCAAUUACGGGUGGACAUAUUAGAGCACCUAUAACCAUAACGCCACUUCCCCCUGAUGUCCAGACGAACAACUUGGACAUUGCCCGGAUCCAAAAACGCUACCCGACCGGGCCCCCCAAAGCCAACUUGUACGUUCGGGCUGUCUGGCAUCCCUCAUAUCCAACCUAUGUGUGACGGAUUUGAGCCUGCCUAGACGCACUCGCAUGUUGGACCAACAUGCAGGACCCCGUGCAGAAAUGCGUCGGUCUGCCCCGAGGCUUAAUAGUUUGUUGUUC
Molecule: long non-coding RNA, 10602 nt
Filed under: Triticum aestivum (bread wheat)
Lineage: Eukaryota; Viridiplantae; Streptophyta; Magnoliopsida; Poales; Poaceae
Description: long non-coding RNA (TAES_LNC007908)
Source: RNAcentral